This 253-nucleotide ribosomal RNA is filed under the name uncultured bacterium. RNAcentral describes it as "partial 16S ribosomal RNA". It matches the Rfam family "Bacterial small subunit ribosomal RNA", at positions 524 to 776 of the family's 1533-position model. The record is from RNAcentral.
UACGUAGGGUGCAAGCGUUAAUCGGAAUUACUGGGCGUAAAGCGUGCGCAGGCGGUGAUGUAAGACAGAUGUGAAAUCCCGGGGCUCAACCCCGGAACUGCAUUCGAUACUGGCGGGCUAGAGACCGGAAGAGGUGGGUGGAAUACCCAGUGUAGAGGUGAAAUUCGUAGAUAUUGGGUGGAACACCGGUGGCGAAGGCGGCUCACUGGUCCGGUUCUGACGCUGAGGCGCGAAAGCGUGGGGAGCAAACAGG